Molecule: ribosomal RNA, 498 nt
Filed under: uncultured bacterium
Lineage: Bacteria
Description: partial 16S ribosomal RNA
Source: RNAcentral
GUAGUUAGCCGGGGCUUCCUCCUUGGCUACCGUCACUUUCUUCGUCACCAAGGACAGAGGUUUACAACCCGAAAGCCUUCUUCCCUCACGCGGCGUUGCUGGGUCAGGCUUGCGCCCAUUGCCCAAUAUUCCCCACUGCUGCCUCCCGUAGGAGUCUGGACCGUGUCUCAGUUCCAGUGUGGCCGAUCAGCCUCUCAGCUCGGCUACCCAUCGCAGGCUUGGUGGGCUGUUAUCUCACCAACUACCUAAUGGGACGCGAACCCCUCCUUCAGCGGAUUGCUCCUUUGACCUCAUCCCGAUGCCGGGUCGUGGUCUUAUGCGGUAUUAGCACUUGUUUCCAGGUGUUAUCCCCCUCUGAAGGUCAGGUUGUUCACGCGUUACUCACCCGUUCGCCACUAAAAUUUAUCUUCCAUCCGAAAACUUCUGAUAAAUCUCCGUUCGACUUGCAUGUGUUAGGCACGCCGCCAGCGUUCGUCCUGAACCAAGAUCAAAUUCUGA